This 450-nucleotide ribosomal RNA is filed under the name uncultured bacterium. RNAcentral's name for it is "bacterial SSU rRNA". It matches the Rfam family "Bacterial small subunit ribosomal RNA", at positions 355 to 825 of the family's 1533-position model. The record is from RNAcentral.
UCGGGAAUUUUGGGCAAUGGGCGAAAGCCUGAUGGAGCGACGUCGCGUGAUGGACGAAGUGCUUCGGCACGUAAACAUCUUUUAUGUGGGAUGAAAUUAUUGACAGUACCACAUGAAUAAGGGGCUCCUAACUCUGUGCCAGCAGGAGCGGUAAUACAGAGGCCCCAAGCGUUAUCCGGAAUCACUGGGCGUAAAGGGUGUCGAGGCGGUUGUAUUAGUCGUUCGUAAAAUCUACGAGCUUAACUUGUAGGCGGCGAACGAAACGGUACGACUUGAGGUUUGGAGAGGUGCGUGGAACUCACGGUGUAGGGGUGAAAUCCGUUGAUAUCGUGGGGAACACCAAAGGCGAAGGCAGCGCACUGGCCAAAAUCUGACGCUCACACACGAAAGCUAGGGUAGCGAAGAGGAUUAGAUACCCAUGUAGUCCCUGAGCGGGCUGGCAAGGCGCAU